UUUUUCAAACAUUCUCUUUAGAGGAGAAAGUCUGGAUACGUUAUCCUUGGCAGCCCAUUCCAGUCAGCUGAUAAGUUUGCGACACCGUACGGAUCUAUGUGACUGAUUAUCAUCCGGUUUGUUAGCAUUGUGCGAGUCAUGUGAUGUGAGCGCAAACACUAUUUUUGAAGAAUUCCAUUUCUGAGAUUGAACGUCUGUCGGUGAGUGCAACAGCUGAGGAUGUCCACCAACACCCGCCGUGCGAUGUGAUGACCCAUUCCCCUUCGUAGGGGAUGACGGAGGUAAUCGUGGAAGACACAAAGACAUACACAUACACACUCUCUCAAAUACACUUGCAUUCAAGCACACACGCACGCAAACGCACACAAAAGCAUACACACACAGUAAACGUAGCCUGUGAGCGAUAGUGUGUAGAUAAAUCGAGUCUGGCAGGAUGCAGUAACCUUGAGUACCAGUGAAGCAUCAGCUGACGUCUUGGUAACUUACAACAGUUCAUUGACGGGAGAUAGAGAUAUACAGCUGACGGACAGAGGCUCAGAAUACCACAGGCUUAACGUUAACCCUCACCCAGAACCUCUUGUGAGCCCCAGCCCCACGUCACUCUUCCCGGGUAAUGCGACAACUUACCCGAAACUGAUGUUAUACGAGUUGUGCGGCGCUGCAAGCACACAACCUGCAAACGCAAGCGAGCUGAGCAUACCUCCUUAGUCGGCCGGGCGUCAAACCCCCCCCCCCUCAAAACCCCCAUAUUCACCUGCAGCUGAGAUGAGCAACAAAGAAGCACACCAGAAACAGAAAGAGGAGAAAAAAGCGGAAUGACAGAAGGGAGAACGCCAAGCAAAAAAAAAAAAAAAAAAAAAAAACACAGUUCCCCCUCCACCAACGACACCGAGUGCGAGUGGAGUGUUGCAAGUACCACCACGUGUUCGGUGCUCCCCAGUCUGACUAGUAACACGGCUUCUGUUGUGAUAAAUGAUAACAACAGUCAAAACAUUGCAAGACAGGAAGCGUCUAAUUUAAGCAAUGUGGAUGCGGGUGGGUUUAAAUUCGUAGAAAAGGGGGAAAAAAGAGAAAAAAUAAAGAUCUAAUGUCAAAUCCCUACAGGGGGGACCUAUACACUACAGACACAUAGGAAGUAGAUAUGGAGAAUCAUCUGAUCGUCAAUUAUUCAAAACAAAAAAGAGUCAUUUAUAUUAAUCCAGCUUCACUGUUUCACUUAACCAAUGAGCCAAACAACUAUUUACUAAUAUCUGACGUGCCGACGGAGCGGGCAGAGCGGUAAGCACUCUCCGAAGGGACGGCGGGUCUGGGACAAAUAUUGUACAUAUAAUGAUUCAUACACACACAUUACUUAUUACGCACAACGGGUUUUCACAAUCUUUAAGCCGUAAAAACUAACACUCCCCGUGUGUAAAAUGAAAAGGAGCCUAGGCGCAACUGAAAACAAACGCAUAAAAAGUAAUAUUUAAUAUGGUAGCUUGGACAAAUACAUAAAAGACAAAAGUAUAAGAGAUCUUGCGUAUACUGCUGGUGUACACAUUCCUUAUCUUACAAAGCAGCUUCGAAUCCUCCGUUUGUCACCGUGCAACACAAUGAUAAUUGCAUAAAGUGAAAAAUGCAGCUCGACUACUGCCUCUAUAUAUACAAAGGCUACUCUAGGCAUGCAAUCAACCGUAAGGAUCUCUGGCUUACUGCUAGCAUACUCUUGCUCAGGUAAAUUAACCCGUCGAUUGGGAGAGAGAGAGAGUACCUGUAGCCCGGCCCGUGCGAGCGUGACUCUCCGUUUCAUCUCCCACACCUUCGUCAAUGCUUCGGAGGCGGAACAAGCAGGUAAGUGUUUUAUAGUACUCGAGGCUUUUGAAUAUUGAAUAAAACUGUAAAUAUUUCUAUGGAUUGAGGAUUGUAGUAGAAACAAAGGUACAAACAAAACAAAGUAUAUAAAUUUAUAUUAUUGUGAAAAGAGAAUUGCGUCGCUUCAAUGUCCACUGAGGUUGUCUUAGUGGUUUCACACGGUGGAGGUCCAAGGUGGUCGUGGGCAGAGAUUCCAGGCGUACAGCCCUGCCAUAAAUAGCCUGGGACCCCAAGUUGGUUGACAUUAUCAGCUUGGUUAUCACUUAAAAUGUCAACUGACCAUUUCAUAACAUAUACCUUAUCUUAUAUAAUUGAAGUUUGUUAACAACACACCCAAUAAUCAUUCACUCACAUGCACAUAUACUUUGAUAAUGUAUAUACUUUUCUAUUUACAUCCUCAUUUGUAGGAAUACAUGUAUAUAUCCCAUUGUUUGAUUAUCAUGUCUUGUCAAAAUUGCCAAAAAUCAGUCUUAACUGACAGACUAAAUACCCUAUCUAUCAAAUUCACCAAAUUGCUAGCCUAUCUGAGCAGGGUAUACAAGUGUCACUAUACUGGAUACCUUCUCAUAUAUGAAUAUCAACAAGUGAUAAGGUGGAUAAGAUAGCAAAACAAGCACUUUCUCGUGAAGAGUUAUCAGCUGUUUUCGAGCCAGAAAGUCUCAAGGUCGUCUUUUGGUGGAAUGAUAUAUUUUAUAGUGUUGCAAGGGACUGUAUCUUUGAUAAAAAUAACAACGCCACCACCGCUUUCUAAUUUUGUUGAAUGAGUGGUACGCCUGUACCGGUCCGAGGUUUCAUAUAUUGGUCUUCAACCAUAAUUUUGUGAUAUCUGCAAUAUCGCGCGUGUGUGUGUGUUUGCUUUUGCGUACGUUUGCGUGCGUGUGUGCUUGAAUGCAAGUGUAUUUGAGAGAGUGUAUGUGUAUGUCUCUGUGUCUUCCACGAUUACCUCUCAUCCCCUACGAAGGGGAAUGGGUCAUCACAUCGCACGGCGGGUGUUGGUGGACAUCCUCAGCUGUUGCAGUCACCGACAGACGUUCAAUCUCAGAAAUGGAAUUCUUCAAAUAUAGUGUUUGCGCUCACAUCACAUGACUGAAAUAGAUGUAUAUCAGUCUAGACAUGCAUAUCUAUCGUAUACAUGGAGAUAAAUGUACAUAUAUCUGUUAGAUGAACGGAUAUGAAUUUAUUUCUGUGUAUACGCAUAUUUGUAUAAAGAAGAUUCACUGGGUCGGACCUCGCACAAUGCUAACAAACCGGAUGAUAAUCAGUCACAUAGAUCCGUACGGUGUCGCAAACUUAUCAGCUGACUGGAAUGGGCUGCCAAGGAUAACGUAUCCAGACUUUGUAAAUGAUUCAUUAUUUACAUGAAGCCCUUACACAUCCGAAGAUCUGAUGUAUUACAAAGGCCUCCCUUCCUGAAAUAUAAAAUAAACCAUAGUCGAUUAAUAAAUCCACAGAAAUAAGGGAAGCAAAUGGAAGGAAUUGACACAAGAGCUUCAAGCCUCCAAUGCCUACAAAAUGGCGGACGCCUUACUGGUGACGUCACGUGAAAACUCUCUACAUAUAAUCACAUCCAUUUAACAUGUAGCUCAUUUAUCUCAACAAAUAGAUUUCCGUGUACAAAAAUCAUUUACGUUGUUCUACGGGUGCAACAGUUUGGAGAUAUGCAACGGAGCCCCGAACCAUUUGUCCAGUCGAACGUUCACUUGAUAGUGUUGUCACGUGACCGGUGCCUCGGUGCCUCAUUGGGAGUAAAGAUUUUGGGAAGAACACACGCAUCACGCAAAGCUGGUCUAAAAUUAAACCAUGGACACCAACGAAAUUAUUGUAAUUAUUUACAUCAUUAUCAUCCAUAUAGUGGUGAUGUUGUGGAAUCACAGAAUACAGUUAACUAUAACGAAUGACCAUAUUCUUAUUGAUAUUCGGCCAGUUAUGAAUUUCGUAGAUAUUAUUUGCAUCACUAUCAUCUAUAUUAUGGCAAUUUUUAUGAAUCGCGGAUUAAAGUUAUCCAUAAUGCUCGAUUGUAUUCAUAUUAAUUUACUGACUGGCAUGAUUACUGCAGAAAGGACUGCGAACAUCAACAGAUUAAUUUUACUUAUUAUUUGCAUGACUAUCAUCUGUAUUGUGGCAAAGUUGAGGAAUCACGGUAUAGAGUAUUCCGUACAGCAUGAUCAUAUCCUUAUUGAUAUCAUACCCCGUGAAGAAAUUCCAGAGAUAUAAUUUGCUACUCGAACGGCAUUAUCAUUAUCAUUAUAAUUAUCAAUUAUCAAUAAUUAUCAAUUACUUCCGUAAACCAAGGAAUUAAGUAAUGUCCUGACGCGCAAAUGGUUAAGUGGAAAGCAUUUUUUUUGAGAAACGAAGUCAUGUUCUAAAAAAAAUCUAAAAUAAAUAGAUACAUAGAUGAAUAAAUGUUCUAAAAAUGUAAAAAUAAAAUAAUAAUAAUAAUAAAAAAAAUUCUGAAAAAUGUUCAAAAAUAGAUUAAAAAAAAUAAAAAAUAAAAAAAGCACCAUGGUUACUGGUGCACCACUAUAAUGAAAUUCGAUGAAUUCGAGUAUAUUGCAUUUUAUUGCUGCCCUGAGUAAGAAUAUAAAAUAUAUAAAUCCCACUUCAUGACUGACACAAUUCCAAUAAUAAUCUUUCAGAUAUAUCCAAGCAAGAAAGUGUUAAUCUGUGCCUUAAUCUUUCAAUGAAAAAAAAACACUCAUUUCUAUCUAAAGUGAUUAUAUUGCGAUAUAUUUCAUAUAAAAUCGUUAUUUUUCUUAACAAUGGAUAAGAAUGGAUAAUAAUGGAUAAUGUGGAGUAACUGUAAGAUAAUCCUUUUCCGUAUUUUGUCUUGCGUCACUACCCAGCCAAUUGAUGUUAUUUGAUGGCACUAAUAUAACAUUACAUAUUCAGUUAAUUCACUUAAAAGAUGAUAUUGUAUUAUCUAAAAAAUAAUAAAAAUUGUCUUCUA
Molecule: non-coding RNA, 4798 nt
Organism: Penaeus vannamei (Pacific white shrimp)
Lineage: Eukaryota; Metazoa; Arthropoda; Malacostraca; Decapoda; Penaeidae
Source: RefSeq, a predicted model, not a curated record